RNAcentral lists this ribosomal RNA (253 nucleotides) under uncultured bacterium. RNAcentral describes it as "partial 16S ribosomal RNA". It matches the Rfam family "Bacterial small subunit ribosomal RNA", at positions 524 to 776 of the family's 1533-position model. The record is from RNAcentral.
CACGUAGGGCGCAAGCGUUGUCCGGAAUUAUUGGGCGUAAAGAGCUCGUAGGUGGUUUGUCGCGUUGUCCGUGAAAACUCACAGCUCAACUGUGGGCGUGCGGGCGAUACGGGCAGACUGGAGUACUGCAGGGGAGACUGGAAUUCCUGGUGUAGCGGUGGAAUGCGCAGAUAUCAGGAGGAACACCUGAGGUGAAGACGGGUUGCUGGGCUGACACUGACGCUGAGGCGCGAAAGCCAGGGGAGCAAACGGG